Molecule: long non-coding RNA, 382 nt
Filed under: Panax ginseng (ginseng)
Lineage: Eukaryota; Viridiplantae; Streptophyta; Magnoliopsida; Apiales; Araliaceae
Description: long non-coding RNA (PGIN_LNC004406)
Source: RNAcentral
UUUAUGUUUGCUAAUUCCCACUCCCAAAAAGAUCAAUGCAUUCCUAUAACAUCUCCUUGCUAGAUCGUGAUCUCCAACCACCUCCCCAACUUCGUUCGGUGUGGGGAACUUGAUCUUGAAGUAAGGGAUCAAAGUCACCACCAGAAGAGCUGUUAGAGUCAGCCUCCCCAAUAUGACAUUGUACGCCGAAUCCAUAUGCACUACAAAAAAAUUGACAAACUAUCUUCGCAUGAUAGGGAGCCAUCCAAAAAAUAACUGGUAGCUCGAUCAUCCCUGCAACCUUGACUGGAUCGUUGCUAAACCCGUACAGAGGAGGCUCCUAACCGACCUCUUAUUUUUGACCCUCCAAAUCCAUCCUUUGGUAGGCAUGGGCAUACAAAAU